This 397-nucleotide ribosomal RNA is filed under the name uncultured bacterium. RNAcentral describes it as "partial 16S ribosomal RNA". It matches the Rfam family "Bacterial small subunit ribosomal RNA", at positions 523 to 918 of the family's 1533-position model. The record is from RNAcentral.
AUACGUAGGUGACAAGCGUUAUCCGGAUUUACUGGGCGUAAAGGGCGUGUAGGCGGUCUUGCAAGUCAGAAGUGAAAUUCCUGAGCUCAACUCGGGCGCUGCUUCUGAAACUGCAGGACUUGAGUGCUGGAGGGGAUAGCGGAAUUCCUAGUGGAGCGGUAAAAUGCGCAGAUAUUAGGAAGAACACCGGUGGCGAAGGCGGCUAUCUGGACAUUAACUGACGCUGAGGCGCGAAAGCGGUGGGAUCAAACAGAAUUAGAUCCCCUGGUAUUCCACGCCGUAAACGAUGAAUACUAGGUGUAGGGGGUAUCGACUCCCUCUGUGCCGCAGUUAACACAAUAAGUAUUCCGCCUGGGGAGUACGGCCGCAAGGUUGAAACUCAAAUGAAUUGACGGGG